Long non-coding RNA from Lutra lutra (Eurasian river otter), 2303 nucleotides. RefSeq lists it as uncharacterized. The record is from RefSeq and is a predicted model, not a curated record. The transcript is spliced from 3 exons. NCBI's taxonomy places the organism in Eukaryota, Metazoa, Chordata, Mammalia, Carnivora, Mustelidae.
CUUCCUCAAUGCCCCACAGGAAGGAGAGGCCUUCUGCAUUAGACCCCUUGCCCUUCCCAUUAAGGGAAGGUGAUCUUGCCUGAAACAAUCCUUUCUUUUCUUGUGCUAAUAACUCCUCCCCCCUAGACUUCUCCCAAUAAAAACUUUCCAUUUUAUGCAACUCUCAUGUGGUUCCCCUCUUCCUGCUGGGUGCCUUGCAGCUGAACUUUGUUUUUUAACAGGAUGCACAGCCACCCUUCCUCAGUGACUCAGUUUUGGCAUGUGGCUCAGAUGGGACUGCCCCUGCUUCUUCACAAUCCCUGUGCGCCCUCCUGACUGGUGAUCUAUGGGCCCAACAUUGAGUCCAGCUCCUGACUUUAUGCUCCAGACUCUUGGCUACUGAUACCAUGUGUUCCCUGUCAGCUGCAUUAUUCUACUCUCGUCAGCCCUCUCACUUUGGAAAGUUAUCAGUAAUACACUGGCCACAGCCAUCUAGAACCUUUGUCACCUCCAGGUCCUUGCUUCACUGGAUGCUUCCUAACCAGCACCUGCAAUCACCUACAGGCCAGAGUGACUUGUCUUCAAAAGAAAGACCCUCUUCAAAGCCCAUGGAAAAGGGCUAUGCCAAAUAGUUCCGGUACGGUCUCCUGAUGGCAUCAUUUAAACAAUGAUGAGACCCUACCAGGGGAUUUGGUCAGGAUUUCCAGAAUUCUAGUGGAGAAGCAUUUUGGGCUCAUGAGACUACUAACCCACGUUCAAGCAAAGUGAGAAGUAGUUACAUAGGCCUAAAUGAACUACUGAGGAAGGACUAUGGUUUUUAUUUGGAAUACUUUAAUGUUCUACUUUCUGAACAUAAGGAAGUCUUUGCUCUUCUUAUGCUAUCUGUCUCUUAAAACAGUUUGGUAGACAAAGCUUUUGCAAAAACAAAGGACAUAUUUAGAAACAGUAUCUGAGUCUCCCCCCUGCCCAGAAUUUGGAAACUCAGUAUUAUGUAGUGUUCUUGCUUUCAGGGCAAUAUAAUUAUUUGCCUAGGUUCAACAAGAAUCUGUCUUCCUUGUUACCAGGACAUAACCGAAAAAACUGGUUAAGUAACCAUGGCCUUGGCUGCAAGAUCAUAUUUGAUCAUAUAAUCAGCAACAACCAGACCCUUUCAAGAAAUGAAAGCAGACUUUAUGGCACCAAUGCCUGCCAAAGCCCUCUUGGGAAAACAAGCCAGGGACCUGGCUUCCAGGGUUCCCAACUCACAGAUGAGCAAGAAAGAUCACUUUGUAGGGGUCCAAGAGCUGGAGGAUAUGCUGGGGACCGCAGAAGGAAGGAAUUUAUGCAAAUGUGUAGAUAAUGAAGGUGAAAUCUGACAGCAACCUCUUGUUAGGGCUUCCUAGUCCCAAGAGGCUUUUAAAUGCACAAUCGAAGAUUCCUUAUGAAAACUUCCUGAGAACUAUUCUUGCUACACCUAUGUAAAUAAAUAUAAUGAGACCAGUCUUAUUUUGUGAUCAUAAAUAAUCUCUCUUUGAUUAUUAGAGGAGGGACUAUGGGAAAAAAAAUUGUGUCUCUGUGGGAAACUAUGCAUUGUUUACACUACACCAUUCCAGGAUAUCAGAUCCUAGCCAUGUUCACUGUCUGAGUUAUUUUGCACCUCUUUGUACCCUGCAGGGAACUGACAGAUGUGAAAACUCCAUUUUCUCUGGUAAAGAUUCACUUGACUUCCUUCUCCCCUACAGAAAAAAACAAUUUCCAUCCCUACCUGCAUAGUGGCCCCAUUCCUGUUACCAUGCCCAAAUUAUCAAUUCUUAGCAUAUUUCCAAUUCACGUGGCUUCCUGCACUACCUGGCUACAACCUCUCGAACUCAUGUUCCAAAUUGUUUCCAACCUGAUUCGGCAUCACCAAGUACCAGCACCUGACUGCCCUGAUCGUGUCUGGGCUCUAGUGAACUUGAAACUGACCCUUCUGUCCAGGUUUGAAGAAACCCAGAGCACUGAAGCCCGUGUGACCACAGUGAGCAGGAUCCUCUCUGGACAGGCCAUGUAAAAGUAUGGCAAAACUCUCAGGUUAUGCAUGCCUUUUAGGACAGGUAACCACACCUGGUUCGAGACCCUCGAGACAGUAAGCCAUGCUGUGAAACCAAUUCUGGGACCCAUGGUCAGGUCCCCUUGGGGCUCAGCUCCUGACUCUAGACUAGACUAUAACCUUCUGUAUAAAGUUCUGCCAGUUCUUUUCAUUUUAGGGAUCGUAGUUUAAGAUGCCUAACCUCCAGGACACUAAAACUGACCUUUGCCAUCACCUCUCAACAGAUAGAACAAGUACCAAUAAAAGUCCUCAAGUC